AAAUAAAAAAAAAAUCUAAACCAGGAGAUACGACCAAACCUCCAACACCUACUCAACACACCGACCUAUCAUGUUUCCCCCCUUGAUAUAAAUGCAAUGAAUGGACCAACAAUGAGCUUUGCUACUUAUUAUAGCAAGCUAGGUUUAGAGUAGUUAUGGAGAAGAGCAAGUCCUUCCCUCAAUAUUCUUCGUCUUUCUCUGGCGAGUUUGACUUCGAGAACCGACAGAAUUCGUACAAUUUCAACGGGCCAUGCAGCAAGAGUAACGGGUUUGCGGCGUCGAACAAUCCGGAGCUCAAGAGGAAGAAGAGAAUCGCGUCGUACAACGUGUUUGCGAUGGAAGGUAAGUUGAAGUCGAGUGUUAGGAACAGCUUCAAGUGGAUCAAGAGCAAGUUUAGCGACACGCGUUAUGGUAUGUGAGUUUGCAUAAAAAGAAAGCAAAGAUGUUUAUUUUACAUUUUAGUCCUUAUAUUUGUACACAGUUUGUUUGGAAACUAGACAAGGGGGGAAGAAAAACCCAAUGAAAUUGGAAGUGGAUUAUAGUAUUUCAUGGGAAUUAUUGCAAGUUUGGUCCUUAGGGUUGUUUUGUAA
Long non-coding RNA from Hibiscus syriacus, 590 nucleotides. RefSeq lists it as uncharacterized. The record is from RefSeq and is a predicted model, not a curated record. The transcript is spliced from 2 exons. NCBI's taxonomy places the organism in Eukaryota, Viridiplantae, Streptophyta, Magnoliopsida, Malvales, Malvaceae.